AGUGAACGCUGGCGGUAGGCCUAACACAUGCAAGUCGAACGGCAGCACAGUAAGAGCUUGCUCUUACGGGUGGCGAGUGGCGGACGGGUGAGGAAUACAUCGGAAUCUACUUUUUCGUGGGGGAUAACGUAGGGAAACUUACGCUAAUACCGCAUACGACCUACGGGUGAAAGCAGGGGAUCUUCGGACCUUGCGCGAUUGAAUGAGCCAAUGUCGGAUUAGCUAGUUGGCGGGGUAAAGGCCCACCAAGGCGACGAUCCGUAGCUGGUCUGAGAGGAUGAUCAGCCACACUGGAACUGAGAAACGGUCCAGAAUCCUACGGGAGGCAGCAGUGGGGAAUAUUGGACAAUGGGCGCAAGCCUGAUCCAGCCAUACCGCGUGGGUGAAGAAGGACUUCGGGUUGUAAAGCCCUUUUGUUGGGAAAGAAAAGCAGCAGGUUAAUACCCCGCUGUUCUGACGGUACCCAAAGAAUAAGCACCGGCUAACUUCGUG
This 492-nucleotide ribosomal RNA is filed under the name uncultured bacterium. Its description in RNAcentral is "partial 16S ribosomal RNA". It matches the Rfam family "Bacterial small subunit ribosomal RNA", at positions 29 to 507 of the family's 1533-position model. The record is from RNAcentral.